UAGUUAUGUUCUUUAAACCUAAAGAAUUUGGCGGUGUUUUAAGUCUAUUCAGAGGAAUUUGUCCCGUAAUCGAUAAUCCCCGUUUUAUCUUACUUUACUUUGUUUAUUUUAUGUUCAGUUUGUAUACCGCCGUUAUAAGUUUAUUUUUUAAGAAUUAAAAUUUACUUUAUAUUAAUUUAAUAGUAUUUCAGGUCAAGGUGCAGCUAAUAGUUAAGUGGAGGUGAAUUACAAUAUUAUUAAUAUUACGAAUUUAUAGUUGAAAUAAUUAUAUUGAAGGUGGAUUUGAUAGUAAUUUAAUUAAUAUUAAUUUUUUGAUUAUGUAGCUCUAAAAUAAGUACACAUCGCCCGGUCGCUCUA
RNAcentral lists this ribosomal RNA (357 nucleotides) under Phryganistria heusii yentuensis. Its description in RNAcentral is "partial small subunit ribosomal RNA". The record is from RNAcentral. Lineage: Eukaryota; Metazoa; Arthropoda; Insecta; Phasmatodea; Phasmatidae.